Photinus pyralis (common eastern firefly) is the source of this 277-nucleotide long non-coding RNA. RefSeq lists it as uncharacterized. The transcript has 3 exons. Lineage: Eukaryota; Metazoa; Arthropoda; Insecta; Coleoptera; Lampyridae. The record is from RefSeq and is a predicted model, not a curated record.
CGGGCCUCAUAAACCUGAUGCAGACCAAGAUCAAUUAUUCAAUUUGACUAUGUCCGUCAUCAACAAAAAACGGUGUUUGGACUGCCAAACUCGUUUGAUGACGACAAGAUUGAUGAAAACGUGCAACAGGAAACUGAUGAAAUUCUAAGCCUGGAAGUUAUGGAUGAGGAUAAUAAUGAUAGUACUACCGUGCCAGAUGUUCAAGAUCCCGAUUGGGGCCAUUUCAAAGUUGAUUUAUUGGCAACGCCUGUGAAUCAAAAAUUAAAAAGGAAACCAG